RNAcentral lists this ribosomal RNA (237 nucleotides) under uncultured bacterium. RNAcentral describes it as "partial 16S ribosomal RNA". It matches the Rfam family "Bacterial small subunit ribosomal RNA", at positions 99 to 334 of the family's 1533-position model. The record is from RNAcentral.
CGAACGGGUGAGUAACGCGUGAGGAACCUGCCUCAAAGAGGGGGACAACAGUUGGAAACGACUGCUAAUACCGCAUAAGCCCACGGCUCGGCAUCGAGCAGAGGGAAAAGGAGUGAUCCGCUUUGAGAUGGCCUCGCGUCCGAUUAGCUGGUUGGUGAGGUAACGGCCCACCAAGGCGACGAUCGGUAGCCGGACUGAGAGGUUGAACGGCCACAUUGGGACUGAGACACGGUCCAG